GUGUGGCUGGUUCGUGGUUG
Molecule: microRNA, 20 nt
Filed under: Corchorus olitorius
Lineage: Eukaryota; Viridiplantae; Streptophyta; Magnoliopsida; Malvales; Malvaceae
Description: cin-miR-4020b-
Source: RNAcentral